Molecule: ribosomal RNA, 253 nt
Filed under: uncultured bacterium
Lineage: Bacteria
Description: partial 16S ribosomal RNA
Rfam family: Bacterial small subunit ribosomal RNA
Source: RNAcentral
UACGGAGGCUCCAAGCGUUAUCCGGAUUUAUUGGGUUUAAAGGGUGCGUAGGCGGAAUAGUAAGUCAGUGGUGAAAUCCUGCAGCUUAACUGCGGAACUGCUAUUGAUACUGCUGUUCUUGAGUACAUUUGAUGUGGGCGGAAUGUGUCGUGUAGCGGUGAAAUGCUUAGAUAUGACACAGAACACCGAUUGCGAAGGCAGCUCACAAAACUGUAACUGACGCUGAGACACGAAAGCCAGGGUAGCGAACGGG